UGGGGAAUAUUGCACAAUGGGCGCAAGCCUGAUGCAGCCAUGCCGCGUGUGUGAAGAAGGCCUUCGGGUUGUAAAGCACUUUCAGCGGGGAGGAAGGCGGUGAGGUUAAUAACCUCACCGAUUGACGUUACCCGCAGAAGAAGCACCGGCUAACUCCGUGCCAGCAGCCGCGGUAAUACGGAGGGUGCAAGCGUUAAUCGGAAUUACUGGGCGUAAAGCGCACGCAGGCGGUCUGUCAAGUCGGAUGUGAAAUCCCCGGGCUCAACCUGGGAACUGCAUUCGAAACUGGCAGGCUAGAGUCUUGUAGAGGGGGGUAGAAUUCCAGGUGUAGCGGUGAAAUGCGUAGAGAUCUGGAGGAAUACCGGUGGAGAAGGCGGCCCCCUGGACAAAGACUGACGCUCAGGUGCGAAAGCGUGGGGAGCAAACAGG
This 429-nucleotide ribosomal RNA is filed under the name Chloroflexota bacterium. Its description in RNAcentral is "Chloroflexi bacterium partial 16S ribosomal RNA". It matches the Rfam family "Bacterial small subunit ribosomal RNA", at positions 355 to 776 of the family's 1533-position model. Lineage: Bacteria; Bacillati; Chloroflexota. The record is from RNAcentral.